Strigops habroptila (Kakapo) is the source of this 1484-nucleotide long non-coding RNA. Lineage: Eukaryota; Metazoa; Chordata; Aves; Psittaciformes; Psittacidae. The record is from Ensembl.
AGACACAACAGGAGCAGCCGGUCGAGUCUCAGCAGUUUAUUGUCACGGGGGGGGGGGGGGUGUUCUGUCGCGACAUGUCGCAGUGCAGGGGCUCUGUCACAACUCAGGGACACGCCAGGCUCUGGCCGUCUCAACGGAGCCCUCAAAGCAAUGCGGGGCCCUUGUCGUGACAGGAGGUCCCUGUCACGACACGGGCCCAACCCCAGUCCCUGUGUCAUGAGGCCCCAAAGCAACGUGGGGCCCCGGAGAAAAGGGGGGGGGGGGUUGCAGUGAGGGGUCCCUGCUGUGAUAUCGUCUCCAUCACGAUAUGGGGGUCCCCGCUGCCCAUAUCAUGAGUGCCUCAAAGCAACGUGGGGCCCCUAGAGAAAAAGGGACUAUUGCAAUAGGGGAUCCCUGUCACGACAAGGGGCUCCCAUCACAACAGAGGGUGACCAUCACCCACACUACGGGUGCCCCAAAGCAGCACAAGAGUCCUGGAGAAAUGGCGGGGACACGGGGGGACACAGACACCGUUGCAAUGAGGAGGUCACGGUCGUGACACGGGGCUCCUGUCGCGACAAGCAGCGGGUGCCGCGGGGGGUCGAACCCCGCCCCGGGCGCAGCUCCGGGGGUGCCGCCACCGGCGCCUUUUGCUUUUUUUUGGGGGGUCAUUUUGGGGCCUUUUUGGGGGGCGGAGGCGAAAAAGCAAAACCUGAGACAACGCGGGGGGUUCUCUCAGGAAAAGAAAAAACCUCCGGGGGGGGAGGGGCGGGGGCGGGGCGGCCCCUCCCCCACGGGGGGUGCGGGGACCCCAAAACACCCCGAAAACACCCCGAAAACGGACCAGCUGGGGGCAAAAAACCACAACAAAUCAGCGCCCCCCCAUGGGAACCGCCGCCAAAACCGCGGCGGGGGGGGGGGUGGGUUGGGGCUGUUUUAACCGGAAUAAACAGGAUUUUGGGGGGGGGGGAACGGGGUGAGAACUGGGGGGGUCGGGUCAGGAUCGCACUCCCCUGGUGCAAAACGGGGUCACAAAGUGGGGUUUGGGUCAGGAUCGUGUCCCCUUCGGUCCCAAAAUGGGGUGAGAAAUGGGGGGUUUGGGGGCAAGGUCACGCGCCCCCAUCGCAAAACAGGCGGGGGGGGAGGGUCUUGGUUUUAGCCAUUUUGGGGCCAAUCGAGGCAGUUUUGGCACAGUCACUGCGGGGGGGUGGAGAAGGGGGGGGGGGGACACCAGCACCGGGACCAGCACCGGGAAUAGCGGGAGCCUCUGAGCUCCUCCCUCCCCAAAACCUCUGCGGCUCCUCCUCAACUCCUGGCGUUUGGGGGGAAAAACUGGGAAAACGGUUAAAAAGAGCCUCCCCCCUCCCCCCCCCCGAGCGACACGCGGCAGGAUUUGGGGGGGAAAAGCCACAUUUUGGUUCAAUCUCCCUCCAAGUGGGCCCUUUGGGGGGGGGGGAGCGGAAUUUGGGGGGAAAGCAGCGAAGCCCAGCGCGUCCCACUGCGGA